AUGGUGGACUUCGAUACCUAUGAUGACUGGGCCUAUAGCAGCUUUGGUGGUGGCAGAGGGUCCCGUGGCAGUGCUGGUGGCCAUGGUUCCCGUAGCUAGAAGGAGCUGCCCACAGAACCCCCCUACACAACCUAUGUAGGAAACCUCCCUUUCAACACAGUUCAGGGUGACAUAGGCGCUAUCUUUAAGGAUCUCAGCAUAAGGAGCGUACAGCUAGUCAGAGACAAAGACACAGACAAGUUUAAAGGAUUCUGUUAUGUAGAAUUCAGUGAGGUUGACUCCCUCAAGGAAGCCCUGAUAUACGAUGGUGCACUAUUGGGUGACCGGUCACUUUGUGUGGACAUUACAGAAGGCAGAAAACAAGAUAAAGGUGGCUUUGGAUUCAGGAAUGGCAGACCAGAUGACAGAGAUUACAGGGAUGACUUCCUAGGAGGCCGAGGAGGCAGUCGCCCAGGGGACCGACGAGCAGGACCUCCCAUGGGGAGUCGCUUCUGAGAUGGCCCACCACUGCACAGCUCCAACAUGGACUUCUGAGAACCCACAGAAAAGGAACGAGCACAGAGACCACGGCUCCAGCUCAAACCUCGGACAGUGGCAACAGCCCUCAACCAAGUAGCCAACCCCCAACAUCUUUGGGGGAGCCAGGCCCGGAGAGGAAGUCGUGAACAAGGAGCAGGAAUGAGCAUGCAGCGGGAAUGGGGUGUGGGGAGUUAGAGCGAGACCGCAGCCAACAGCCUGGACCGGCCACCCCGCAGACACCGUUCCUGUACCUGGCACUGUCCUCCUUCCUUACAGUGGAAACACCGAGCUUGUGAAUGCAUGUCAGCUGUUAACGAGUGGUUUUUAGUACAUCCUUGGCUUUGCUGUACCUAGCUAGUGCCUGUUUUGUGCUCUUUAGUUUUUUCC
This is an RNA transcript of Octodon degus (degu), 906 nucleotides long. It is a transcript of the gene named eukaryotic translation initiation factor 4H pseudogene, with no coding region annotated. The transcript has a single exon. NCBI's taxonomy places the organism in Eukaryota, Metazoa, Chordata, Mammalia, Rodentia, Octodontidae. The record is from RefSeq and is a predicted model, not a curated record.